This 71-nucleotide transfer RNA is filed under the name Bos taurus (domestic cattle). It matches the Rfam family "tRNA". Rfam says of the family: Transfer RNA (tRNA) molecules are approximately 80 nucleotides in length. Their secondary structure includes four short double-helical elements and three loops (D, anti-codon, and T loops). Lineage: Eukaryota; Metazoa; Chordata; Mammalia; Artiodactyla; Bovidae. The record is from Rfam by way of RNAcentral. RNAcentral also lists the same sequence under 5 other names.
UCCCUGCUGGCUCAGGUGGUAAAGAAUCCGCCUGCAAUGCGGGAGACCUGGGUUCAAUCUCUGGCUGGGAG